AGGGCUGUGGCUCAGUGGUAGAGCGUCUGCUUUGCAUGCAGAAGGUCCUAGGUUUGGUUCCUGACAGCUCCA
This is a non-coding RNA of Heteronotia binoei (common prickly gecko), 72 nucleotides long. NCBI's taxonomy places the organism in Eukaryota, Metazoa, Chordata, Lepidosauria, Squamata, Gekkonidae. The record is from the annotation of a RefSeq genome assembly.